GUGCGUGAUACUUGUUGAUGUUGCAGUGAUUUGAAGCUUGAAGGAGAUUUAGAUGAGAGCGUGCAGGGGAAUCUGACUGCCUUAGGUUGUCUGGGGGAGGACUCUGAAUUCAACUCUUGCCCCUUGUCAAUUUGAUUGGGCUUCCUUCUUAUUGAAGCGAGAAAUUGCACCACAAAUUUGUUUACAGUUAACCAAUUGGUUUUGGUCUUCCAUAUACAAUGCUGCUUGUCUGCCAAUUAUUCCUAAAAGAAACAUGUUUGAUAUGCUUUAUGAACUUUUUGUGAAACAGCUAUACUCCAUAAACUGAUGUUUGUGUUUUUGUGGUUUUUCUGGGCCACUAGCGGGCUGACAGUGAGUUUGGCUUUUGGGGAUGACAACUGUAAAGAUUUAUAUAGUGUACUAUUCCUUAUACGGGCAUGUGGAGACUAUGGCACGAGAAGUGCAGCGAGGAGCAAAUACUGUUCAAGGUGUUGAAGCAACACUUUGGCAGGUACCCGAAACGCUCUCUGAUGUGAUAUUGCAAAAGAUGAAGGCCCCUAGUAAAGCAGAUGAUGUGGCAGAGAUCAGGCCAGAACAGCUUUUGGAGGCUGAUGGCUUCAUGUUCGGUUUUCCUUCUCGGUUUGGAGUCAUGGCAGCACAAUUUAAGGCCUUCUUUGAUGCCACUCACGAAAUAUGGGAGACUCAAGCACUAGCGGGCAAGCCUGCAGGAAUCUUCUGGAGCACCGGUUUUCAUGGAGGUGGCCAAGAGCUUACAGCAUUAACCGCUGUUACACAACUAGCGCAUCAUGGAAUGAUAUUUGUCCCUCUUGGAUACACGUUCGGUAGUGGCAUGUUCGAGAUGAACGAGGUCAAGGGCGGCUCUUCUUAUGGUGCUGGAACCUAUGCAGCCGAUGGGUCACGGGAACCCACGGAACUGGAACUUAAGCAGGCUUUUCACCAGGGUAAGUAUGUGGCUGAAAUAGCUAGGAAGCUCAAACGGCCAAACCCCCAGACCUAACGACAAAGCAAGUAGUUUGUACAUAUGAAUGGUGGAAACUAUUUCCAAAAUUCGAGUAUAAGUAUAGUUGAUAUAAGCUGGUAACUGUGACAUUUCAUUUGGAUUCAAGUACAAGACCUGCCAUUUUGUCCCUUACGUGGGUACGGACGUGGCGGUAAAGUCUGCCGGAAAAGAAGCAUGUGAUGAAGGGGAUUUCAGAAAUGUUGUUUUGAAUGUACAAGAUGUGAAGAAACAGCUUUACUACUUACCUUUUAUCGAUGUUCUGCCCUUUCGUAGUUCUGGAUCAGAAACAUGAUUAAGUAGUCUCAUAGUUGUUUGAUUGAAUGGUCAGUCGGGAUAAUUGAUUUAGGAACAGUUCCUGGUU
Molecule: RNA transcript, 1361 nt
Organism: Rhodamnia argentea
Lineage: Eukaryota; Viridiplantae; Streptophyta; Magnoliopsida; Myrtales; Myrtaceae
Gene name: probable NAD(P)H dehydrogenase (quinone) FQR1-like 3
Exons: 5
Source: RefSeq, a predicted model, not a curated record